UCCUCUCCCUUCCUCCUCUCCCCAACCCUCCCUUUCCCCACCGCCGGGCUUUUCCCCCCUGCUCUUGGCGCUGAAGAUCGGAGCCUCCCCCGCUUCCAAAUGGCGAUUUCUGUUGAACUUACUGUACCUUGUCAUGGCACCCAAAUUGCUGUUUGAUGUUUGAAUGCAAAUGCUUGGAACUGACAACACAACGCACCCCAAAACUGAGUUGGUAUUGAACAGUGUAGGAUGUGUCCGACGGCUCCCGUGGUUUUUACCAGUUAUUGAACUGGGAAAGGUCGGGUUGUGGGGGUUGAUUGGAAUUUUUUUGUAGCUUCUUUCUGUUGCUACUGUAAUUUCAUUGACUGUUUCGCCUCCGUG
Molecule: long non-coding RNA, 360 nt
Organism: Apus apus (common swift)
Lineage: Eukaryota; Metazoa; Chordata; Aves; Apodiformes; Apodidae
Exons: 2
Source: RefSeq, a predicted model, not a curated record